UACGGAGGAUGCGAGCGUUAUCUGGAUUUAUUGGGUUUAAAGGGUGCGUAGGCGGGCUUUUAAGUCAGCGGUAAAAAUUCGGGGCUCAACCCCGUCCGGCCGUUGAAACUGGGGGCCUUGAGUGGGCGAGAAGAAGGCGGAAUGCGUGGUGUAGCGGUGAAAUGCAUAGAUAUCGCGCAGAACCCCGAUUGCGAAGGCAGCCUUCCGGCGCCCUACUGACGCUGAGGCACGAAAGUGCGGGGAUCGAACAGG
RNAcentral lists this ribosomal RNA (252 nucleotides) under uncultured bacterium. RNAcentral's name for it is "partial 16S ribosomal RNA". It matches the Rfam family "Bacterial small subunit ribosomal RNA", at positions 524 to 776 of the family's 1533-position model. The record is from RNAcentral.